RNAcentral lists this ribosomal RNA (253 nucleotides) under uncultured bacterium. Its description in RNAcentral is "partial 16S ribosomal RNA". It matches the Rfam family "Bacterial small subunit ribosomal RNA", at positions 524 to 776 of the family's 1533-position model. The record is from RNAcentral.
UACGAAGGGGGCUAGCGUUGUUCGGAAUCACUGGGCGUAAAGCGCACGUAGGCGGAUGUGCCAGUCAGGGGUGAAAUCCCGGAGCUCAACUCCGGAACUGCCUCUGAUACAGCACGUCUUGAGUUCGAGAGAGGUGGGUGGAAUUCCUAGUGUAGAGGUGAAAUUCGUAGAUAUUGGGAAGAACACCGGUGGCGAAGGCGGCUCUCUGGACCGAGACUGACGCUGAGGCGCGAAAGCGUGGGGAGCAAACAGG